This 468-nucleotide ribosomal RNA is filed under the name uncultured bacterium. Its description in RNAcentral is "partial 16S ribosomal RNA". It matches the Rfam family "Bacterial small subunit ribosomal RNA", at positions 28 to 507 of the family's 1533-position model. The record is from RNAcentral.
GACGAACGCUGGCGGCGUGCUUAACACAUGCAAGUCGAACGGAAAGGCCCUGCUUUUGUGGGGUGCUCGAGUGGCGAACGGGUGAGUAACACGUGAGUAACCUGCCCUUGACUUUGGGAUAACUUCAGGAAACUGGGGCUAAUACCGGAUAGGAGCUCCUGCUGCAUGGUGGGGGUUGGAAAGUUUCGGCGGUUGGGGAUGGACUCGCGGCUUAUCAGCUUGUUGGUGGGGUAGUGGCUUACCACGGCUUUGACGGGUAGCCGGCCUGAGAGGGUGACCGGCCACAUUGGGACUGAGAUACGGCCCAGACUCCUACGGGAGGCAGCAGUGGGGAAUAUUGCACAAUGGGCGGAAGCCUGAUGCAGCAACGCCGCGUGCGUGAUGACGGCCUUCGGGUUGUAAACCGCUUUCGCCUGUGACGAAGCGUGAGUGACGGUAAUGGGUAAAGAAGCACCGGCUAACUACGUG